RNAcentral lists this ribosomal RNA (379 nucleotides) under uncultured eukaryote. RNAcentral describes it as "SSU rRNA". It matches the Rfam family "Eukaryotic small subunit ribosomal RNA", at positions 587 to 969 of the family's 1831-position model. The record is from RNAcentral.
ACCUCCAAUCGUGUAUAUUAAAGUUGUUGCAGUUAAAAAGCUCGUAGUUGAAUUUCUGAUAGAAGGGAGCGGUUCCGCAUUCUUGCGGAUACUUGCUCGUCUUCCGUCAUCCUUGGGCUUAGUCUUGCUGAUAUUAACUUAUUGGCGUGUACGAUGCCCAUCGUUUACUGUGAGCAAAUUAGAGUGUUCAAAGCAGCAUAUGCCGUUGAAUAUAUUAGCAUGGAAUAAUAAGAUAGGACUUUUCGACUAUUUUGUUGGGUUGCGUUGUGAAGUAAUGAUUAAGAGGGACAGUUGUGGGUAUUCGUAUUCAGAUGUCAGAGGUGAAAUUCUUAGAUUAUCGGAAGAUGAACUACUGCGAAAGCAUUUACCAAGGAUGUUU